UCGGGAGCCAACUAGGGACGAGCGAGGGAAGUGGAGGCGCAGGGAGGGCUGGUGGGGAGCAGACAAAAAAAAGGAGCUCACCGUUGCAGGGUUGGGCCUGGGAUGGGCAAGUGUGUGGUACCCGGCAGAAGCGGACGAGUUGAGAUCCUGCGGGCAGGGCUCCCACGAUACGAAAAACAGUGCAUUUCACUUUAGGCCCCCAAGGAGCGAGCCCCCCGAGCCGCCGGAGGAACGACUGCUGGGGCUCAAAUGGACGACUUUUUAGAGUCUUAUGCCAUCUAUUUCCCUAGCAACAUCCUAAAUUCUAAGAUGAUAAGUAAAAUUACUUAAUGUCAAAUAUAAUUUUCAUUCCUAUCAUUUCAGGUAAUGGAUCUGGUAUACUGCUUAUGGCUGUCCCUUUCAGAGUGAGGCUUCUGAGAGCUUGAAGACUUUAACGGAUGAAUCAUCUGAUAAAGGUAUCAGGUCCUGAAGAACCUUCCUCUUAGGCCAUUCCUUGGCCAGUUCCACAGAGGCCAGUUCCUGCAGGUGAUAUACAG
This is a long non-coding RNA of Miniopterus natalensis, 536 nucleotides long. RefSeq lists it as uncharacterized. NCBI's taxonomy places the organism in Eukaryota, Metazoa, Chordata, Mammalia, Chiroptera, Miniopteridae. The record is from RefSeq and is a predicted model, not a curated record.